This 200-nucleotide ribosomal RNA is filed under the name uncultured bacterium. RNAcentral's name for it is "partial 16S ribosomal RNA". It matches the Rfam family "Bacterial small subunit ribosomal RNA", at positions 29 to 256 of the family's 1533-position model. The record is from RNAcentral.
AGCGAACGCUGGCGGCAGGCUUAACACAUGCAAGUCGAACGGGCGUAGCAAUACGUCAGUGGCAGACGGGUGAGUAACGCGUGGGAACAUACCUCUUGGUUCGGAACAACACAGGGAAACUUGUGCUAAUACCGGAUAAGCCCUUACGGGAAGAUUUAUCGCCGAGAGAUUGGCCCGCGUCUGGUUAGCUAGUUGGUGGG